This 245-nucleotide ribosomal RNA is filed under the name uncultured bacterium. Its description in RNAcentral is "partial 16S ribosomal RNA". It matches the Rfam family "Bacterial small subunit ribosomal RNA", at positions 524 to 768 of the family's 1533-position model. The record is from RNAcentral.
UACAGAGGGUGCAAGCGUUAAUCGGAAUGACUGGGCGUAAAGGGCGCGUAGGCGGUUUAUCAAGUGGUGGGUGAAAACUUUGGGCUUAACCUAAAGAGUGCCCAUCAGACUGGUGAGCUAGAGUGCAGUAGAGGAGAGCGGAAUUUCCGGUGUAGCGGUAAAAUGCGUAGAGAUCGGAAAGAACACCCGUGGCGAAAGCGGCUCUCUGGACUGUGACUGACGCUGACGUGCGAAAGCGUGGGGAG